Molecule: non-coding RNA, 119 nt
Organism: Pteropus alecto (black flying fox)
Lineage: Eukaryota; Metazoa; Chordata; Mammalia; Chiroptera; Pteropodidae
Source: Rfam
GUCUGCAGCCAUGCUACCGUGAACAAGCCCGAUCCCGUCUGAUCUCGGAAGCUAAGCAGGGUCGGGCCUGGUUAGUACUUGGAUAGGAGACCACCUGGGAAGACCAGGUGCUGUCGGCG